UACGUAGGUGGCAAGCGUUGUCCGGAAUUAUUGGGCGUAAAGCGCACGUAGGCGGCUUAGCAAGUUGGAUGUGAAAGCCCUCGGCUCAACCGAGGAAGUGCAUCCAAAACUGCUGAGCUUGAGUACUUAAGAGGAUCGCGGAAUUCCCGGUGUAGAGGUGAAAUUCGUAGAUAUCGGGAGGAACACCAGUGGCGAAGGCGGCGAUCUGGGAAGAUACUGACGCUGAGGUGCGAAAGCGUGGGGAGCAAACAGG
RNAcentral lists this ribosomal RNA (253 nucleotides) under uncultured bacterium. RNAcentral describes it as "partial 16S ribosomal RNA". It matches the Rfam family "Bacterial small subunit ribosomal RNA", at positions 524 to 776 of the family's 1533-position model. The record is from RNAcentral.